CGUCGAUUUUUGUAAGAACCAACAUUGUGUUUUUCCUUUUAUUGAAUAUGUCUCUCUGUCUUCUCUGACCCACUCACUCUCACUCUCACUCUCAUUUCAGUGUCGCUCUCACUCUCUUGCUCUCCGCAACGGUUCAACUCCUCACUCUCACUCUCCUCACUAUCUUAUUGUAUGUAUUUCGAUGCAGCACUGUCAGGAUUCGAGGCCACGCAAAUUCGUCGCGAUGGUUCUUGCCGGGAUUCGAAGCCAUGAUGUCAUCGUUUUCAUUUCCGGAGCUGGACUAUGAGAUCCGGCAGCUGGACCACACCACUGGGAAUAGAGCUCACACUGACGGUGAGGUUCCAGAGCUUCUUUUAUUUUCCUCGUUUCCUCUCUUCCCAACAACAAAGCAUGAGUGUUCACUGGCAGAAGAAAAUGGGGAUAGAGUCACAAAUUCCCCGAAGCUUAAUCCGAAGAAUCUACGCUCCCUUGGACAAUGAAUUUCAUUUUGCAGUGCCAAUCUCCUCCUCCAGAACAAAUGAAUGUGAACUCGUGGAAGGUGUUCUAUGAAUGCUGCAAGGGUUUUCUAGUCCCCUAUUCUUUGGGAUCAAAAUGUAAACAACUUCCAUGCAAAGAACAGAGUGUAUGUUAGUCAUUUCUCCAAGAAAAGGCUUCACUAUCGGCUCAAUCAAUUUAUCCAUGCAGCCACAUGUCUCCCAUUGGUGGCAAUUACACUUGAUAAAGUCGAUCGAAACCGCAGUGCCAAAAUCUCCUCCUACUUUGAACGCAUUUGCGUGCUUUGCUUUAGCGUGCCUCAAGGGGUUGCAAAAUAUUGCCUUGAAGGAGGAAGCGUCCACGAGCAAUGUAGAUGGUGUAACCACCCCAACCUUGUUAGGAUUGGCUAAUUCCUUAUCGAGGUUUCUGCUUACUUUAACAAUUUUCUCCUGCACAAUUCCUGUGUAUUUAUGCUUGGUUUAGACUUUGAUUUGGUUUCAUUUAGCUAUUUAUAGUGCCUUUAGGAUGUUUGCUGAUUCCAAUUCUAUGAUAAUAGCUAGGUGAAACCUUUUUUUAUUUAUUUAUGUUGAUGAUUAGGGUCAUAUUUGGUUGGUUAUUUUCAAAGCAUUUCAAACAAUUAUUUCAUCUCUGAACUUUGAAUCUAUGUAUCAAUUAAUAGAUGUAGAAAAAUAAAAAAAUUGACACCAUUAAUUCAAAUGUAUGAGCUUUUUAUAAGAUCUGAGUUUUACUUUUUAGUUUUUACCACAUCGAGAUGCUCAUCCUUUUUCAUACUUUUACUUUCUUAUUCACAUUUAGAUCCUUCAUUUUUGCAAGACAACUAAAGAUGAGUGGAUUAUAUUUGCUUGGGAUGGUACUAACACCACCAAAUGUCAUAUGUUCAAAGUGAGUUGAUACGAAUUUACUUUUACAUGUUUGGGUAAAAUUGUGAUGAUGCUUGUUACUGGAAAUUUCUCAUAACUAAAAUAAUGGCGUUUUCUAGUACUCUUUGUAUAUGAUAUGAUAUCUUUUCGAUGGCAAGUUGCUGGAUAUAGGCUUAAAAAUUAUAUAGUUGGAGUUUUAUAGUUUUCUAUAUAGGAACAUAUUUUUCCUUCUCUAAUUGUGCAAUUUAUCUUCUCGAAUUAUCUCAUGCCCUUUCUUUUUUUGUACUGAAUUGUGGGCAAUGGAGUUUUGACUAGUGAUUUAGUGGUAAUGGCAUGCCAAGAACUAUAAAGUUAUUGAUUGGAUAGUAUUUUUAUUGAUAUUAUAAAAAACAUCACUUGGGUAGCAUUAGGAAAACAAAUUAAAAUAAGAUGAAGCAUAACUUAUGCAUAAUGGUAUUAAGACUACAUAGGUUAAACAUCUCAAUUUUUAUUCCACUAAAAAAGGGGGAAUAGAACAUUAUUAUUCCAUUAUGUUUGUGCGCCAAAUGCUACCUUUGAUUGGAGUCAUGUUUAUUUCACUUAAUUAGGUUUCACAAUAUAUGUUUUGUGUAUAAAUUAUAAUAUUUUAGUUUUAAUUUAUGAGUUUCUUAAUAGAAAUUUGGUUUGAUUGUUCCCAUUUAUUGUUUAAUAGGUCCAAUAUGAAUUUCCAAUUUGGUUGGCACUGUGAAAUGUUUUCUUAUUUUGUUUGCUGAUUUUUCUUUAAUAUUUAUUUUAUAACUUUUUGUUCUUCAAUUUCAUUAUUUGACAUUCUUGAUCAAUUGUAAU
Long non-coding RNA from Glycine soja, 2180 nucleotides. RefSeq lists it as uncharacterized. Lineage: Eukaryota; Viridiplantae; Streptophyta; Magnoliopsida; Fabales; Fabaceae. The record is from RefSeq and is a predicted model, not a curated record. The transcript is spliced from 3 exons.